RNAcentral lists this non-coding RNA (29 nucleotides) under Rattus norvegicus (Norway rat). The record is from RNAcentral. Lineage: Eukaryota; Metazoa; Chordata; Mammalia; Rodentia; Muridae.
UGAAAAUCAAUUGUUUUGUCAUUGUUUUG